RNAcentral lists this ribosomal RNA (478 nucleotides) under uncultured bacterium. RNAcentral describes it as "bacterial SSU rRNA". It matches the Rfam family "Bacterial small subunit ribosomal RNA", at positions 28 to 507 of the family's 1533-position model. The record is from RNAcentral.
GAUGAACGCUAGCGGGAGGCCUAACACAUGCAAGUCGAGCGGGAAUCCCUUUCGGGGGAUGAGAGCGGCGCACGGGUGAGUAACGCGUAUGCAACCUGCCCCGGACAGGGGGAUAGCCCGGAGAAAUCCGGAUUAAUACCCCAUAUAAUUAUGAAGUCGCAUGAUUUUAUGAUUAAAGCUACGGCGGUUCGGGAUGGGCAUGCGUGACAUUAGCUAGUUGGUGAGGUAACGGCUCACCAAGGCUGCGAUGUCUAGGGGUUCUGAGAGGAUGAUCCCCCACACUGGUACUGAGACACGGACCAGACUCCUACGGGAGGCAGCAGUGAGGAAUAUUGGUCAAUGGGCGCAAGCCUGAACCAGCCAUCCCGCGUGAAGGAAGACGGCCCUAUGGGUUGUAAACUUCUUUUGUACAUGAAGAAAGGGACCUACGGGUAGGUUCGUGACGGUAAUGUACGAAUAAGCAUCGGCUAACUCCGUG